RNAcentral lists this ribosomal RNA (433 nucleotides) under uncultured bacterium. Its description in RNAcentral is "partial 16S ribosomal RNA". It matches the Rfam family "Bacterial small subunit ribosomal RNA", at positions 29 to 507 of the family's 1533-position model. The record is from RNAcentral.
AACGAACGCUGGCGGCAUGCCUAACACAUGCAAGUCGAACGAGACCUUCGGGUCUAGUGGCGCACGGGUGCGUAACGCGUGGGAACCUGCCUUUAGGUUCGGAAUAACUCAGAGAAAUUUGAGCUAAUACCGGAUGAUGUCUUCGGUCCAAAGAUUUAUCGCCUUUAGAUGGGCCCGCGUUGGAUUAGCUAGUUGGUGGGGUAAAGGCCUACCAAGGCGACGAUCCAUAGCUGGUCUGAGAGGAUGAUCAGCCACACUGGGACUGAGACACGGCCCAGACUCCUACGGGAGGCAGCAGUGGGGAAUAUUGGACAAUGGGCGAAAGCCUGAUACAGCAAUGACGCGUGAGUGAUGAAGGCCUUAGGGUUGUAAAGCUCUUUUACCCGAGAUGAUAAUGACAGUAACGGGAGAAUAAGCUCCGGCUAACUCCGUG